UAGGCCCUAAAUUAAGAUUGACGUUUGCUGUAGCUCUUGGUUUUAAACAGGAGCCAAGAAAUAUCUUCCUUUGGUUGCUUGGCUGUUCAGUAUCUCAGUGGAAAUGACCAGUUCAUUUAGAAGAAACAUAG
This 131-nucleotide small nucleolar RNA is filed under the name Castor canadensis (American beaver). Lineage: Eukaryota; Metazoa; Chordata; Mammalia; Rodentia; Castoridae. The record is from RNAcentral.